This 1185-nucleotide ribosomal RNA is filed under the name Bacillus anthracis (anthrax bacterium). RNAcentral describes it as "partial 23S ribosomal RNA". It matches the Rfam family "Bacterial large subunit ribosomal RNA", at positions 13 to 1193 of the family's 2925-position model. The record is from RNAcentral. Lineage: Bacteria; Bacillati; Bacillota; Bacilli; Caryophanales; Bacillaceae. RNAcentral also lists the same sequence under 4 other names.
AAGGGCGCACGGUGGAUGCCUUGACACUAGGAGUCGAUGAAGGACGGGACUAACGCCGAUAUGCUUCGGGGAGCUGUAAGUAAGCUUUGAUCCGAAGAUUUCCGAAUGGGGAAACCCACCAUACGUAAUGGUAUGGUAUCCUUAUCUGAAUACAUAGGGUAAGGAAGACAGACCCAGGGAACUGAAACAUCUAAGUACCUGGAGGAAGAGAAAGCAAAUGCGAUUUCCUGAGUAGCGGCGAGCGAAACGGAACAUAGCCCAAACCAAGAGGCUUGCCUCUUGGGGUUGUAGGACAUUCUAUACGGAGUUACAAAGGAACGAGGUAGACGAAGCGACCUGGAAAGGUCCGUCGUAGAGGGUAACAACCCCGUAGUCGAAACUUCGUUCUCUCUUGAAUGUAUCCUGAGUACGGCGGAACACGUGAAAUUCCGUCGGAAUCUGGGAGGACCAUCUCCCAAGGCUAAAUACUCCCUAGUGAUCGAUAGUGAACCAGUACCGUGAGGGAAAGGUGAAAAGCACCCCGGAAGGGGAGUGAAAGAGAUCCUGAAACCGUGUGCCUACAAAUAGUCAGAGCCCGUUAACGGGUGAUGGCGUGCCUUUUGUAGAAUGAACCGGCGAGUUACGAUCCCGUGCGAGGUUAAGCUGAAGAGGCGGAGCCGCAGCGAAAGCGAGUCUGAAUAGGGCGUUUAGUACGUGGUCGUAGACCCGAAACCAGGUGAUCUACCCAUGUCCAGGGUGAAGUUCAGGUAACACUGAAUGGAGGCCCGAACCCACGCACGUUGAAAAGUGCGGGGAUGAGGUGUGGGUAGCGGAGAAAUUCCAAUCGAACCUGGAGAUAGCUGGUUCUCCCCGAAAUAGCUUUAGGGCUAGCCUUAAGUGUAAGAGUCUUGGAGGUAGAGCACUGAUUGGACUAGGGGUCCUCAUCGGAUUACCGAAUUCAGUCAAACUCCGAAUGCCAAUGACUUAUCCUUAGGAGUCAGACUGCGAGUGAUAAGAUCCGUAGUCAAAAGGGAAACAGCCCAGACCGCCAGCUAAGGUCCCAAAGUGUGUAUUAAGUGGAAAAGGAUGUGGAGUUGCUUAGACAACUAGGAUGUUGGCUUAGAAGCAGCCACCAUUUAAAGAGUGCGUAAUAGCUCACUAGUCGAGUGACUCUGCGCCGAAAAUGUACCGGGGCUAAAUACACCA